Rhinolophus ferrumequinum (greater horseshoe bat) is the source of this 106-nucleotide small nuclear RNA. NCBI's taxonomy places the organism in Eukaryota, Metazoa, Chordata, Mammalia, Chiroptera, Rhinolophidae. The record is from Ensembl.
GUGCUCACUUCGAUAGCACAUAUAUUAAAUUGGAACAAUACAGAGAAGAUUAGCAUGGUCCCUGCACAAGGAUGGCACACAAAUUCAUGAAGCAGUCUAUAUUUUU